This is a long non-coding RNA of Oncorhynchus tshawytscha (Chinook salmon), 409 nucleotides long. Lineage: Eukaryota; Metazoa; Chordata; Actinopteri; Salmoniformes; Salmonidae. The record is from Ensembl.
CUGCCUGACUGGCCCCUGGAACAGGAGGUUCUAUCUUCCUGACUGGCCCCUGGAACCGGAGGGUCUAUCUGCCUGACUGGUCCCUGGAACAGGAGGUUCUAUCUUCCUGACUGGUCCCUGGAACAGGAGGGUCUAUCUUCCUGACUGGUCCCUGGAACAGGAGGGUCUAUCUUCCUGACUGGUCCCUGGAACAGGAGGUUCUAUCUUCCUGACUGGUCCCUGGCAUUCCCAAGCAUUUUGCUACACUUACAUUAACACCUGUUAACCAUGUGUAUGUGACCGUACAGUUUGAUCUUCCUGUGGAUCUUCCUGCAGGGGAUGUUAUUAUCAAGGGUCUUAUUCUGGUAACAUGAUGAUCGAUGUUUGGUUGGCGUCUGACAAAUAAAUAUUAUCUUGGUCUUUUGUCCAA